UCGCCCUUUCAAGGCGGUAGCACGGGUUCGAAUCCCGUUGGGGGCA
Molecule: transfer RNA, 46 nt
Filed under: Candidatus Protofrankia californiensis
Lineage: Bacteria; Bacillati; Actinomycetota; Actinomycetes; Frankiales; Frankiaceae
Description: Candidatus Frankia californiensis tRNA
Rfam family: tRNA
About the family: Transfer RNA (tRNA) molecules are approximately 80 nucleotides in length.
Source: Rfam by way of RNAcentral